Molecule: long non-coding RNA, 2564 nt
Filed under: Mus musculus (house mouse)
Lineage: Eukaryota; Metazoa; Chordata; Mammalia; Rodentia; Muridae
Description: long non-coding RNA chr11:54027394-54029958
Source: RNAcentral
AUCCCCUCCAUGCCACACAGAAAUUCAUCAGCUCUGAGUGUGCGCUGAGAAUACACUCACAACCCCACUCUGUGCCUGGAAGUUUUGAGACAGUAGGUGACACUGACCCAGGCACUGUCAGGGGCUGUUGGGGGCACGGAUGCAACGGAGUCUCCAUUCCCAAUGUCCAGCUCCAGCACUACCACCUACCUCUGUCACGAUGGUGGACAGGAAGAUGUCCUUGUCGUACUCCCAGCCAUCCAGGCAGCUCUCCUGCUCCAGCUGCUCCAGAUCCACGUCCUGUCCUGGCUCCAGCCCCAUCGCAGAGAAGUUGGCGAUGGUGGCCAGUCGGUAGCGGCGGCAGCUCUGAGGCACCUGUCGUCCGUCCUUCGUCUCCAAGGGGAUGCUGUGGUUGCGCCAGGAGCUGCUCAGGUUCACAGUGUCAGGAACCAGGCAACGGUGCUCGGGGGUCCCCGCCAGGAACACGACUGACAUACCAUUGAAGCCAUUGGGGAUGAUGCUGGCGCUGAGCAGAAAGAAGAUGAGGCGCUGGAAGGGCCCCCACUCGCCCAGGAAGGCGAUCACCUCGUCGUAGUCCCGCAUGUUUCCACCUCUCCUCCUCAGCUUGCGUGAGGGAGGUGGGUGGAGAGAAAGGAUUCAGCGAUUGCGGCGCGCUGAGGGGAUCUUCCUAGGUGGCUGCGUGCAAACACGCCGUGGGUGCUGCAAAACUCCCAGGGGUUGGCGCGGAGCGCCGGGAAGCCGAGUCCUCUGGACCACACCCCCGUGCGGCUAGGCAGCGAAAGGCCACUGCACUCCACCGAUCUGGGCGGAGCUCUCGGGCCGGCUCAGCCUCCUGCUCCGUUCCUUGCACCCAGCGGCCUUCCACGCAGGCCUCCCGCCCGGAAUCGGCCGGACAACGCGCGUGCAGCUAGGAGCUCCGGCUUUCUCGGCCCCACGUGGGAGGGAGAGCGACAGGGAGGAGCGUCCCGAAAGCCAGGCCUAGCCCGGAGCAGGAGUUCGUUGCUCCACAAUCCCAGCCUGGAUUAUGAGCAGGCGGACCGGUCAGUUAAUCAAGUCUGCGCUCCCAAGAGACCUGUGUGGGGGACAGGAGCGCCACCUCUUCACACACACCAGCGUGGGAACUCACUUAUGAACCUUAGCAUGGCCGUAGUCCAUCACGGGACGGCGGCGGCCCGAGAAGCGUCCUUGGAAAAGCAGGAUCCUCACCUUGCAAAGAGGCGACUGUGGACCUGGAGCCAGAAAAGGAUGUGCGAGGUCAUGCUGAGUCAGAGGCGCGCCCUGGAUUAGAAGGGCUGGAUCACGGGCCCCUGAGUCGUUCUAGUGUCCUUUCGAAAGAUUCCCUGUGGCCUUUAUAGAGACACCAGAGGGAAGUCGGCCCACUGAGGGAGCAUAGAGGAGUCACCACGCCUGGGCUCGGUGUUUGUCCUUUUGCACUCUCGGGGCACCCGGAGUCCUUUAUUGCGGCACGGUGCCAAAGCCUUCUUGGACUGAAAGGCUAUUUGCAGAAAGGCCCAUUCUAGUCUAGGAACAGAGGGAGGAAGGGACAGAGAGAGGACAAACUGGUGAGAUUUGGCCCUCAGAACUGGCAGGGUAACCAAAAGCGGGAUUGCCUUUUUUCUCUCUCUGCUCAGUAUUCACAUCUAAGGUCCUGGGCACAGUGUACAAGCUAGCCCAAGCUAGAGCUGGGCUCCCCUAGCCUGGGAUCCACAGGCCUGGAGAGACUGUAAGGCUGAGUAGCCCAACACUUUGCACAAACCGGGUUGUCUCAUCAGACUCUGGCAAGGAACUGAAGGAGACUUCUGCUUUUUUCUUUGUUUUUGUUAGUUUCCCCCAUGAGUCCUACUGUUAGGCUGACUUCCCACCAGUAACUUACAUUUCUUUUCCUGUCAUUUAAGCCGCAUCUCCUAGUAUGCCAGGACACUAGCUUUUUACUUUUGUUCGUUUGAGACAGGGUCUUCGGAUGUAGCCCUGGCUGUCCUGGAACUUGCUAUGUAGACCUGGCUGGUCUUGACUCACAGAGCUAGCUCUGCCUGUCUCUGCCUCCCAAGUGCUGGGAUUAAAGCUGUGCACUUCUGUGCCUGGAUCCGUGCUUAUUAAUCCAGUGAGAGUACUCGCAGGGUUUCUUUACUUCUGAAAUGCUUGAGUGGUGGUGUGUUGUGGUCGGAAUCUCACUUAGGUUCUGUUCUUCCACUUCAAAUUACUAACAAACAUAAACAGAGUCAAGAACUAGCUGUUUAUUUUUUGAAGAAUGAUUCCCAAAGAACAAGACUGAAGGACUGAGGAGAGUGAGCAAAGAAGAUGAAGCCACCACACAGAAUGAAGAUGAAGUCACCACAAGACACAGAAUUGAGCUGGGCCUUGGCAGGCUGCAGGGUCAGUGCCCACGCCAUGCACAGGAACCCUCUUGGAACCUGAGGUCCAAUGAAUGAGCAGUGCCAUCUGCCUCAAAAUGUUGGCACUGAUGUCAAACAUGUAGUAUAUACCUAUAAUCCCAGCAAUGGGUAGGUCAAAGUAGGAUGAUUUUAAGUUCAAGACCAACCUGAGCUAUGGUAAGACCAUGUGUC